Long non-coding RNA from Mesocricetus auratus (golden hamster), 3636 nucleotides. RefSeq lists it as uncharacterized. The record is from RefSeq and is a predicted model, not a curated record. NCBI's taxonomy places the organism in Eukaryota, Metazoa, Chordata, Mammalia, Rodentia, Cricetidae. The transcript is spliced from 2 exons.
GCCACCCUGGGUCCUCACCGCGGCCGCCAGCAUUGGCGUGCGGGUGUCGGGGAGGAGGCGGCGCCCUGCUGCGGUGCGGGCGAGAGCGAGGGCGGCUCGCUACGGCAGAGGCUAGCACAGUUCCUGCGAGGUGCAAUCAAGGGACCCCGCAGCCUAGAUGAUACUUGGGGCCCCACAGCUGCGCACGCUGGCCUGGGGACGCGCUCUUUGGGCGCGCCCUCGUGCCCAGGUGAACCGCGACCGCGACUCUUCUGACAGCAGUGGUAACACUAAUGGGUCCUUUAAAAUAGUAUCACAGUUCAUGCCAAACAGUUUGACAUCGCGGGAGCGAAGUCCAGUGACAGACAGAAAUAGAGACGUCGAUGGCAGGUGACAAGGAGCCAGGGGUUACUUGGCCCUUCUGAGAAGGAGCAACGGCAUUCUACCUUCUUGGGAACUAGAUCCACUCUAAAGUUCCACGGGCAUUUCAGAGGACGACGACAGUGGGCAAGGCAGAAGAAAGAGCAGGCUCUUGUCCUUGCAUCCGAGGCCUUAUUUCUUGCAGCCACCUCUAUCCCUCAUUGGCGUGUGCUCUUUGCCCCCACAACACCAGGAACCUUGUAUAGUCACAGAUCCCGAUCCCUAUGCCUUGGACACUCAGGAGUGACGGGGGGGGGGGGUUGUUCCAAAGUCAGUUACCAGUUACCAGAACAAUACUGACAAUACCGGUGUUGGAUUUCACUUAGGACAUUGGAGGGUAUCUUAGCCACAUCCCUGGUCUGUUUUUAUUAGCCCACCUUGUGCACUUCCUGCUCCCUUUAUACCCAGCCCCGGUACUUCAGACCCUGCCUCCAUUCUUUUGUGACCUUGGGGAAAGCAGCUGUCCCCUCUUUCUGCUUCCCUAAUUCAAUCUGUCUGAACCAAGGGUUCUCCUGGGUUGUCCUCUGAAGAAAUAUACAAGAAGGGUCCUCUGCAGUCAGCGGGAGUCGCACUCACUUCGGGUUGCCUUCUGUGCAGAAGGCUUGUGUUCUACCUCAAGGUGGAGGUUGUUUCCUCAUUACCCUACUGUGUGUGGAAGGCAGCUUCAGGCUUACCACAGAGCCGUCCGUCAGAGGGAACCUGAGAAUCUAAGCCACGUCAGGCAAUUCUCCUGUACCAGUUUCUGCCAAGGCUUCUUUUUUACAUGCCAGAUGACCCCUGAGACCUACAUGCUGUGGCUGUACUGAUUUCUAUACCACCCACCCCCGCCCCUCCAUGCCUGUCCCUUACUCGCUCGGCUCCAGCGGCACCGGCUGCCUUGCUUUUCUCUUUGCCACCGGGCUUUUGCACACACUGAACCCGAGCCACUCUUCUCUCUGCAGUCUAAGGUACUGGUCCAACUUUCCCAUCUUGGCACACCUCCUUCCUCAGCUAGAUGACAUCCAUCCCUUCCCAGAACUGGUUCCCACUGGAUAGCCAUCUCCUGCUUAUCCCUUACUAAGGAGUAUGACACCUUACCCAGGAGUACUCCCAGAGUGUGCACAGCACUGGUCACAGGCUCCCACGUUCCAUGAGCAGCUGUGAAGGGAUAGCCAGGAGAAGGAGGCUCUUUGCUCUUUCAGGCCAAGACUCUGAGGAGAGUGAAGUGUACGGUGCCUGGGUUGCCUGUCAUGUGGCAGUAACUUAGGCAGGUCUAGCUUGUAUGAGCUAGUGAACACCACAUACCCACAGGGAGUUCAGUUCCAUUUCAGAUCUCCCAAGACUUUAGCGGAUUUCAACCAGGCAGCCAGGCUCGGCUGUACCAUGGGAAAGAUGGAGGUCCCUGGAGAUGAAAUUUCCAGCAUGGCAAAGAAUCUCUGUUUUGUUUUUCCAAGCCCACAGCGAUGAUGACCAUUUGUAUGCAGGGUUUCCUAUUCCAGGGUGUAAGGGAUCAUAAAGAGGAUCAUAGGAAGAUACUGCCCCACUGUGGGGAGAGUCUUCAAGCCCACUGUUACGGUUUGAACAAUGCUCCAUCUGGUGGUACUAUCUGGGAGGUAACGGGACCCUUAGGAGGCACAGCCUUGCCCGAGGGACGUGGGUCACUGUGGGAUGGAUGCCUCUGAAAGUCUAGGAAGUCUCCAGUCCUUUCCUGCUUCGUGACCACUAAUGUCAUCUUCCACAUGUUUGUGCCACCGUGAUGUUCUGCCCUCCACCCCGAAUCUGAGCAGCCAAGGAUUGAAAUCUCUGAAACUGUAAGUAGAAAUGAGCCCUCCCCCUUCAAUUGCCAUGCCAGGUAAUUACUGGAAGUCUGCUAAGCCCUUUGACACCUGUCAAGCUUCCAGGCUUCAUAUCUGAUAGCAUUAAGGUGGACGGGGAAGUCCCUUGCCAUCACAUAGUAGGUCUACAAAUUUUUCAAUGAAGCAUGUGGAUAGUGUGUGUUUAUUCAUGCAUGCGAAUACAUUCAUGUGUGCCUAUGUCUGGGUUAACAGUGACAUCACGUAUCAGAAAGCCCAGCACAGAAAGGUGAUGAGGUGAAAGGUGGUGGAUCAGUGGCUCCCUGUGGAGACAGAAGGGGUCAGAACCUGUCUGAGCCUACAGAUCAUUUCUGUCCUAUCCCUCUCACAGUUAACCCCAUGUGUCGCUUCCUGUAACAGUGCUGGUCAGAAAGAAGCCAUCUGGAUUUCAGUCUGGAUUGUCUCUUCCCGGCCUUGACCUUGGGCAGAUCGCUUAACUUUCCAGACAGCAAACAGAGCUGCUUUCUAACUAUUUCUCUGGGACAGCUGUGGGACUAACUGGGACGAUACGUGUCAACUUGACAGGAUUAAAAACAUCAUGGUGACCAGACUGUGGACAUGCUUGUGAGGGUUAGGUCAAUAGAGGUGGGUGACAUAGUAAAUGUUGGUGACACCAUUCCAUGAGCUAGAGCAUAAAAAGGAAAACACGGCCUGAGUACCAGGCAUCAGUGCUCUCAGGUUCCUGCCUGUGAAUGCAAUGUGACCAGCUGUCUCACACUCCUGCUGCCGCCAUGCCUUCCCCACCACGAUGGACUGUACCUUUGAACCAUGAUCUAAACAGGCUCUUCCUUAAGUGGUUCAUCACCAGGUAUUUUUGUCACAGCAAUGAAAAAGGCAACUGAUCAUAUAUGUGCAACACCUGAAAUAUUAUCUGGCAUUUAAUAGAUAUAUAUUAGGUAUGUCCUAUGGAAUGUCUACAAUAUUACCCAAUAGGUACUAUUAUUACAGAUGUAUUACAAUUAGAUUUAAAUGAAAUGGGGAAUAAGCAAACAUCAUGUUCCCAGGGAGUAGUGGGGGAAUAAGUAAAGGUCAUGGAUGGAACUGGUCCAAAGAUUCCCACCCUUACUUGGACCAUUGUGUAACUAAUAUUCCCCAUCUUUUCCCUUUGGAGGAUUCCCAGACACUGGAAUAUCAUCACCACCACAGGCAACUGUUACAGCGAACCUACUGUAUGCAGCACAAAACACAGCUGUGGGGCUAUGACGAGAUGCUUAAGACAUGGAGUAAGGCAAGAUGUGACAAGCAUUGCCAUCCAAUUCAUCUCCUCCAAGGACCUCAUUGACAGUUUGUAAAAAUAGGAGACUGGAGCCAAUUUCAGGGCAGCAAGCAAGAGUAACUUAUAUACAUGUGUAUAGCUCUGGAGUGGCAGUCAGGAAAUGAAAUAAAGAAAAUGAAUCUAAGAAUA